UAAGUUAAUAAGGGCGCACGGUGGAUGCCUUGGCACUAGAAGCCGAUGAAGGACGUGACUAACGACGAAAUGCUUUGGGGAGUUGUAAGUAAACAUUGAUCCAGAGAUGUCCGAAUGGGGGAACCCGGCAUGUAAUGCAUGUCACUCAUUACUGUUAAGGUAAUGUAGAGGAAGACGCAGUGAACUGAAACAUCUAAGUAGCUGCAGGAAGAGAAAGCAAACGCGAUUGCCUUAGUAGCGGCGAGCGAAAAGGUAAGAGGGCAAACCGAUGUGUUUACACAUCGGGGUUGUAGGACUGCGUUGUGGGACGACAAGAUUAUAGAAGAAUUACCUGGGAAGGUAAGCCAAAGAGAGUAACAGCCUCGUAUUCGAAAUAGUCUUUAACCCUAGCAGUAUCCUGAGUACGGCGAGACACGAGAAAUCUCGUCGGAAUCUGGGAGGACCAUCUCCUAACCCUAAAUACUCUCUAGUGACCGAUAGUGAACCAGUACCGUGAGGGAAAGGUGAAAAGCACCCCGGGAGGGGAGUGAAAUAGAACCUGAAACCGUGUGCCUACAACAAGUUCGAGCCCGUUAAUGGGUGAGAGCGUGCCUUUUGUAGAAUGAACCGGCGAGUUACGAUAUGAUGCGAGGUUAAGUUGAAGAGACGGAGCCGUAGGGAAACCGAGUCUUAAUAGGGCGACUUAGUAUCAUGUCGUAGACCCGAAACCAUGUGACCUACCCAUGAGCAGGGUGAAGGUGAGGUAAAACUCACUGGAGGCCCGAACCAGGGCACGUUGAAAAGUGCUUGGAUGACUUGUGGGUAGCGGAGAAAUUCCAAACGAACUUGGAGAUAGCUGGUUCUCUCCGAAAUAGCUUUAGGGCUAGCGUCGAUGUUAAGUCUCUUGGAGGUAGAGCACUGUUUGAUUGAGGGGUCCAUCCCGGAUUACCAAUAUCAGAUAAACUCCGAAUGCCAACGAGAUAUAAUCGGCAGUCAGACUGCGAGUGCUAAGAUCCGUAGUCGAAAGGGAAACAGCCCAGACCACCAGCUAAGGUCCCAAAAUAUAUGUUAAGUGGAAAAGGAUGUGGGGUUGCACAGACAACUAGGAUGUUAGCUUAGAAGCAGCUAUUCAUUCAAAGAGUGCGUAAUAGCUCACUAGUCGAGUGACCCUGCGCCGAAAAUGUACCGGGGCUAAAACAUAUUACCGAAGCUGUGGAUACCUUUUAGGUAUGGUAGGAGAGCGUUCUAUGUGUGAUGAAGGUGUACCGUGAGGAGCGCUGGAACGCAUAGAAGUGAGAAUGCCGGUAUGAGUAGCGAAAGACAGGUGAGAAUCCUGUCCACCGUAUGACUAAGGUUUCCAGGGGAAGGCUCGUCCUCCCUGGGUUAGUCGGGACCUAAGGAGAGACCGAAAGGUGUAUCCGAUGGACAACAGGUUGAUAUUCCUGUACUAGAGUAUAUAGUGAUGGAGGGACGCAGUAGGCUAACUAAAGCGUGCGAUUGGAAGUGCACGUCUAAGCAGUGAGGUGUGAUAUGAGUCAAAUGCUUAUAUCUAUAACAUUGAGCUGUGAUGGGGAGCGAAGUUAAGUAGCGAAGUUAGUGAUGUCACACUGCCAAGAAAAGCUUCUAGCGUUAAUUAUACUCUACCCGUACCGCAAACCGACACAGGUAGUCGAGGCGAGUAGCCUCAGGUGAGCGAGAGAACUCUCGUUAAGGAACUCGGCAAAAUGGCCCCGUAACUUCGGGAGAAGGGGCGCUGGCUUUAAGUCAGCCGCAGUGAAUAGGCCCAAGCAACUGUUUAUCAAAAACACAGCUCUCUGCUAAAUCGUAAGAUGAUGUAUAGGGGGUGACGCCUGCCCGGUGCUGGAAGGUUAAGAGGAGCGCUUAGCAUUAGCGAAGGUGUGAAUUGAAGCCCCAGUAAACGGCGGCCGUAACUAUAACGGUCCUAAGGUAGCGAAAUUCCUUGUCGGGUAAGUUCCGACCCGCACGAAAGGCGUAAUGAUUUGGGCACUGUCUCAACGAGAGACUCGGUGAAAUUUUAGUACCUGUGAAGAUGCAGGUUACCCGCGACAGGACGGAAAGACCCCAUGGAGCUUUACUGCAGUUUGAUAUUGAGUAUCUGUACCACAUGUACAGGAUAGGUAGGAGCCUAUGAAAUCGGGACGCUAGUUUCGGUGGAGGCGUUGUUGGGAUACUACCCUUGUGUUAUGGCUACUCUAACCCAGAUAGGUUAUCCCUAUCGGAGACAGUGUCUGACGGGCAGUUUGACUGGGGCGGUCGCCUCCUAAAAGGUAACGGAGGCGCCCAAAGGUU
This 2289-nucleotide ribosomal RNA is filed under the name Streptococcus equinus. Its description in RNAcentral is "bacterial LSU rRNA". It matches the Rfam family "Bacterial large subunit ribosomal RNA", at positions 4 to 2318 of the family's 2925-position model. The record is from RNAcentral. Lineage: Bacteria; Bacillati; Bacillota; Bacilli; Lactobacillales; Streptococcaceae.